This 448-nucleotide ribosomal RNA is filed under the name Xerocrassa ebusitana. RNAcentral describes it as "partial 16S ribosomal RNA". It matches the Rfam family "Bacterial large subunit ribosomal RNA", at positions 1808 to 2606 of the family's 2925-position model. Lineage: Eukaryota; Metazoa; Mollusca; Gastropoda; Stylommatophora; Geomitridae. The record is from RNAcentral.
CAAAAACAUCGCUAAAUGUUUUAGAUAUUUAGUUGUUUCUGCUCAAUGGUUUAACUAAAUAGCCGCAGUACCCUGACUGUGCAAAGGUAGCAUAAUCAUUUGGCUUAUAAUUGAAGUCUGGCAUGAAUGAAUUAACGGGUAACCACUGUCUUUUAAGGUAACUUUGAAAUUACUUAGUAGGUGAAAAUUCCUACAGAUAAAUAAUAGACGAGAAGACCCUAGAAAUUUUGUAUAACUUAAUAUGUAUAUUACUAUUAUUUUGUUGGGGCGACAGAAUAACAUAUAACUUAUUUUAUUUAAUUGGAACUAAGUAGUGUGAGAAAUUAAAUUACUCUAGGGAUAACAGCAUAAUUUAUUAAAGUUUGUGACCUCGAUGUUGGACUAGGGAUUGUAUAGUUUAGAAGACACUACAACAGGCUCUGUUCGAGCCCUAACCCCUACGUGAUCU